CAGUAGCCGCGGGAAUACAGAGGGUGCGAGCGUUAAUCGGAAUUACUGGGCGUAAAGCGUGCGCAGGCGGUUAUAUAAGACAGAUGUGAAAUCCCCGGGCUCAACCUGGGAACUGCAUUUGUGACUGUAUAGCUAGAGUACGGCAGAGGGGGAUGGAAUUCCGCGUGUAGCAGUGAAAUGCGUAGAUAUGCGGAGGAACACCGAUGGCGAAGGCAAUCCCCUGGGCCUGUACUGACGCUCAUGCACGAAAGCGUGGGGAGCAAACAGGAUUAGAUACCCGGGUAGUCCCUGUCUCUUAUAC
This 301-nucleotide ribosomal RNA is filed under the name uncultured bacterium. RNAcentral's name for it is "partial 16S ribosomal RNA". It matches the Rfam family "Bacterial small subunit ribosomal RNA", at positions 509 to 807 of the family's 1533-position model. The record is from RNAcentral.